GUCGUGCACCCUGGCGGCAAGGGUUUAGUAACUGUGGGCGCGCUGGGUUAUCUCAACUUCCAUCAGGCCUCAGCUGAAAGCUCAUCUGCCAAAACACAUCAGCACUCUUGUAAAAUAAAAGGAGUAGGGAGGUGACUUUGUAUACAUACUGUCCAGUGUUUGGCUUCCAGUUUUCCUCUUGUGUGUAACUAUUCUAGCACUUUAGGUUUUCUGAAGCGUUCCUUUAGGACUUAAAGGACAUCAUUGAAAUGUUGCUUUCCAUAGUCGGCAGGAUCCAUUUGAAGCUCUCGUUCUUCAUCAUCUGUGCCCUAUCCUGCCACUAUCAUCUAGAGAAUGCCAGAAUGAGACAAGAAAUGGUAAAUGGCAACACUCAGUUCCAUUUAGAGCCAUGCUGCGGAUCAACAGGGGAUUCAUUCUCAUCAAAGAAUCGGCCUGUGAAGUAGGUAGAGGAUUAAUUCAAGAGUAAAGAGAGAAGAAAAGAAGGAAUCUAUACUGAAGGCAGACCAGAAAGUAGACAAGUGAAACCUGGCAACUUUUGGGGUACUGGAUAUAAAAGGAUACAUUUUGUGAAGGUUAUCCAAGACAAAAGUAUGUAAGAGCGAAGACUCUGAAAAUACAUAACUUCUCUUUAAAAAAGAAUUUCUCUUUUGUGUUAAUUUUAGUGCUUGCCACUGAAGAUUUGAAUGAUUUCUUAAAGAAAUGGGCAUCAUUUUUAGGAAUGUUUUCAUAAUAACCAAUGACUUCUGCAAUAUAAGUGUGUCUAAAUUAACAUUUUAGGAGAAUACAUUAUUUUAUUACUAGAUGAGAUACAUAUUUAAAAUUUGAAAAUCUAGGCCUGGUGCAGUGGCCCACGCUUGUAAUCCCAGAACUUUGGGAGGCUGAGGUGGGUGGAUCGCUUGAGCUCAAGAGUUUGACACCAGCCUGGGCAACAUGGCAAAACCUUUCUCUACAAAAAAUACAAAACUUA
This is a long non-coding RNA of Mandrillus leucophaeus (drill), 967 nucleotides long. RefSeq lists it as uncharacterized. Lineage: Eukaryota; Metazoa; Chordata; Mammalia; Primates; Cercopithecidae. The transcript has 5 exons. The record is from RefSeq and is a predicted model, not a curated record.